GUUACAGAACCGACUAGUUUCCUAUCUGAGGGAAUGGUCUUGAUGGCAUCUGCUUUGAUGAUGAGAUCUACUGGGAUGUGAUACUGUACUAAACCAUUAAAGGCUAAAUGCAUUAAUAUCAUGAAGACUGCAAAGUCAUUUUGGAACUAUCUUUCUGAAGUUACCUGAGGAUGAAGAGAACAAUCCACCUACCGUGGAGUACAAUAACCACAUGCGGAGCAAUGCCGUAACGGAAUCAAAUUCCUCUGUGGAACAGUCAGAACUGACGCUAGAGCCUGAUGUCAUCUCCCCCUACACGUUCAACAGAUGAGCCUAUCCUACACUGACAUCUGCUGGACAGAAACCAGUUCUCUCUUCCUCAUCACCGUAGACUGUUCUGUUCAUGGAAUUUAUAGUACAUUUUUACUACUUAAUUUUAUGAAAUCACAUUGUAACCUGUUUGUUAUAAAUAUGGUUCAUUCUAAUCUCUACGUUAUAAAGCAUUUUAUUAAUUCUACCCAUUUGUGCAACCUAGUCACUAAAGUGUUUGAUGAGACUAUUAUUGUAGUCUAGUAGGUCUACUGUGUAGUCUACUACGUUCUUUUAAACCACUCCAAACAAGAAGUUCCCUCACAGGAAAAAUAUAUUCUAUCUAUGAUUUCAUUUUGCAUGUCUGCUGCUUUGUUGAAAACAAUUAAACAUUUUACAUUGAGAAUGUGAAGGCAAUAUACACUAUGUCAAUCAUGAAUGAUCCACAUGUUAAAAUAACUGUCAUAUUUGUUUUAAACUCUGGCUGGAUUCCAGUAAGAAUUACACAUCAUUUUGCAAACAGGCAUAAUGUGACUUGCAAGCCUGGUGUGGCCUGUAAACUAUGCAUUUGAGACCACUGUAUUUGGGUAAAACUAGUAGUGAUGUUCAAUUUCAUACCGGAGCAGUUAACUUCAAAGCAGUGCAACGAUGCCUGUAACAUUUUAAUCAGAAG
Molecule: long non-coding RNA, 961 nt
Organism: Oncorhynchus tshawytscha (Chinook salmon)
Lineage: Eukaryota; Metazoa; Chordata; Actinopteri; Salmoniformes; Salmonidae
Source: Ensembl